AUUCGUUCCAUACAUGAAAAUUCCUGCGGAUAGGGAGGGAGAGAGAGUCAAUCAAAGUAACUUGGGGAAAGCAGUGCUUAGUUCUUGGUUUCUGUGCAUGUUCAGACUUUUCAAAUCAGGAACAUUCCACUUCUGGGGAGGAGGCACAUGUUAAGCAGUUAGGAGGCACACUUGUUGAGCAGCUGACAACAGAACAGAAUAUCCACACUGCCACUCCAUGCUGUUGGAGAGGUCCCAUCUGCAUAUAUACCGGACCAAUUGCCUUCCAGCACACCUUGGUCAUCAGGAGAGUUGAUCUGGUACCAAGAAUAAAGUGGAGGGUAACACCCAAAUCUUGCCUUCAUAUACACUCAGGAAUUGGUACUGGACCAUCAUUGAAUCUACAAUUUUGCUAAAUUCAAGAAAGAAGAUUCCGAGUUCGAACCUCAUGGCCAAAGGGGGCCUUUCUGUGUGGAGUUUGCAUGUUCUCCCUGUGUCUGUGUGGGUUUUCUCCAGGUGCUCCGGUUUCCCCCACGGUCCAAAGACAUGCAGGUUAGGUUAAUUGGAUACUCUAAAUUGCCCAUAGGUGUGAAUGGUUGAGAGGAGAAAACUUCUGUAAUAAUCCAGUAUCUAUAAUAAUCCUAGAAACUUUGAUGGCUGGAGCUGUCAAAAUGGCCACAUAUGCCAGAGAUUUAUAAUAUGGAACACUUUAAUGUAUGUAAUAUUAUUCUCCAACAUCACAAAAUUGCCUACACUAAAUUGCCAAUAAGUGUGCAUGGUGCCCUGUGAUGGACUGGUGUCCCAUCCAGUGUAUAUUUCCACUUCCUGUGCAGUGUUCCUGGAAUAAAGUCCGUAUUCACCAUGACUCUGACCAGGAUAAACCGCUUACUGAAAGUGAGUGAGCACCUCUGGCAGAAUUACAGCUGCAAAUCAUGGGUUUAUAUUCAUGUAUUCAAUUUAAUAUGCUAAUUCAUACAAACCUGUAUGGCGAAUGUUGCACGUUAUCUAAAACUAAUAAAUGGAAGGAGGGAAGGAGUCUCCAGUGUCAGUGCAUUCAGAAAGUCUUUAAGACAGAGGAGUGAGAAGAAAAGAGAGACUGGUGAGGGAACUUCUGUAAUGUAAUUGAAAACAGGAACAAAGUUGUUUCAUGGAGGUUACACAAUAUAAAAUGUAAUUAUAAAUGGAUCAAAAGUGUAUGUUCUUUAAUAAGUAAAAUAAGGUAAUCAUUGGCAAAUUACUGUAGGAGAAGAGGAAUAAAACACUUUGGGACAUGUUAUUAUAGGAAAAACUGUAACUCUGCUUCAUCACAUCAAACCAUCAGUGAUGAUUUUCCUAUUACAGCAUUGCAUGCAGCGUGUUAUUCUGUAUAUAUAAUAUAAUCAGAAAGCACAGGGGGUGGCACGGUGGUGUAGUGGUUAGCGCUGUCGCCUCACAGCAAGAAGGUCCGAGUUCGAGCCCCGUGGCCGGCAAGGGCCUUUCUCUGUGGAGUUUGCAUGUUCUCCCCGUGUCCGCGUGGGUUUCCUCCGGGUGCUCCGGUUUC
Molecule: long non-coding RNA, 1519 nt
Organism: Neoarius graeffei (lesser salmon catfish)
Lineage: Eukaryota; Metazoa; Chordata; Actinopteri; Siluriformes; Ariidae
Exons: 3
Source: RefSeq, a predicted model, not a curated record